RNAcentral lists this ribosomal RNA (751 nucleotides) under Priestia aryabhattai. Its description in RNAcentral is "bacterial SSU rRNA". It matches the Rfam family "Bacterial small subunit ribosomal RNA", at positions 47 to 725 of the family's 1533-position model. The record is from RNAcentral. Lineage: Bacteria; Bacillati; Bacillota; Bacilli; Caryophanales; Bacillaceae.
CUGCAUAAUGCAGUCGAGCGACUGAUUAGAAGCUUGCUUCUAUGACGUUAGCGGCGGACGGGUGAGUAACACGUGGGCAACCUGCCUGUAAGACUGGGAUAACUUCGGGAAACCGAAGCUAAUACCGGAUAUGAUCUUCUCCUUCAUGGGAGAUGAUUGAAAGAUGGUUUCGGCUAUCACUUACAGAUGGGCCCGCGGUGCAUUAGCUAGUUGGUGAGGUAACGGCUCACCAAGGCAACGAUGCAUAGCCGACCUGAGAGGGGGAUCUGACACACUGGGACUGAGACACGGCCCAGACUCCUACGGGAGGCAGCAGUAGGGAAUCUUCCGCAAUGGACGAAAGUCUGACGGAGCAACGCCGCGUGAGUGAUGAGGGCUUUCGCCUCGUAUCUCUCUGUUGUUACGGAAGAACACGUACGAGAGUAACUGCUCGUACCUUGACGGUACCUAACCAGAAAGCCACGGCUAACUACGUGCCAGCAGCCGCGGUAAUACGUAGGUGGCAAGCGUUAUCCGGAAUUAUUGGGCGUAAAGCGCGCGCAGGCGGUUUCUUAAGUCUGAUGUGAAAGCCCACGGCUCAACCGUGGAGGGUCAUUGGAAACUGGGGAACUUGAGUGCAGAAGAGAAAAGCGGAAUUCCACGUGUAGCGGUGAAAUGCGUAGAGAUGUAGAAGAACAUCAGUUGGCGCGUAGUAAGCUGGCAUUUUUGGGAAAUCUUCAGUGUCCCUGAAACGGACGUCAUACAACGCAGA